Molecule: long non-coding RNA, 1251 nt
Filed under: Gossypium barbadense (sea-island cotton)
Lineage: Eukaryota; Viridiplantae; Streptophyta; Magnoliopsida; Malvales; Malvaceae
Description: long non-coding RNA (GBAR_LNC007610)
Source: RNAcentral
AAACCCUUUGUUUUUUUAAUUUUUUUCAAAUGCGGCCAAUUUUUUAAUAAAGGGGGGGGGGGGGGGGGCUAUUAACCCACUCUGCUAGGGUUUCAUUUAGCUCACAGCCACCGAACCACCUCCAUGCUUGGUGGCCGUUGAUGCACGAAUAGUGACCAGAUCUUGUUGCCGGAGGCCGCAACUAUGGAGAUCUAGUAAGUUUUCUCUUUCUCUUUUUUCUUAUUCUUAAAAAAAGGGCUUCAAAUCCUACUCUAUUCUUUAAAAAAAAGAAAAAUUCGAAGAAUGAAAAAGAACUUAACACCGUUUGACCCUCGUCCAUAUCUCCCUGCUUUUGAAAUAUUUGGACUCUCAUCGGCGUCGAUUCAGGUAUUAUUUUCUCAUUUUUUAUGCUAAAAUCGCAAAACAAAUCAAAGGAAACAAUAAAAUCAAUAGAUAAAAAGAUUUUGAAAUCACCUCUUUAUUUCUGGUUCUUUUUUUUUUGUAUUUCAAUAUGCGUGUCUCUAAAAAAAAUUACAUUUUUUGCUCUUAGCUAUAUAGCCGAAAACACAUCUUGUUUCUACUGUUCUCUUUUCGUGUUGUUGCUUCCGUUGUCCCUCUUUUAGUUUGCUUGCAGCUUGGGAGGAAAUCAACAAGCGGGGGUUUCCUUUUUGGUGCAAAGGACGGGCAGAGCCGUCCCUCGAGCGAUGUUUGGGCCGAGAACGCACGUGGUUGGCAGAAGGGAGGCGCGGCGCUAGGGUUUCGGUUGGCUGAACUUGGUUUAGGCAUCGGGCCUAUCGGGCUUAGGUGCUGGGCUUGGUUUUGGGUCUUAAUGUAACAUGAACUGUUAUUAUUUUUGGUUUUUUUUUGUUUAAACGGGCCGGGCAAAAUUGAGCCCGUACAGUGAGGAUUCUUCACUAGGGUGUGUUAGAAUUAAGGUCACCAGUUGCUUUGAUUCAAAGAUAGUGAAUUCUUCUCACUGAGUUAGGCUCCGCAAGCGUAGGGAAAUCGAACUAUAUAAACAAAUUUUGAUGUCCCCCAUUUAUAUUAUGCCUUUUAGAAUAUUUUAAUAAUAAUUAGAACAUUUUAAUAAAACUAAUAAAAGAAUAGUAUGUUUUGUAAGUUUAUGAAAGAAAAUAAAAACUUAAGAAAAUUAAGAUAUAGCUAUUCGUCGACGAUUUUGCCUUUCUUUUUGCUUUUCGAUGUUUCGACGUUAUCUUUAACUGCAUACAAUAAAUUCAGAUAUAGAAAAUUCAUUAAUCAUAUAAUUCAAAC